This 255-nucleotide ribosomal RNA is filed under the name uncultured bacterium. Its description in RNAcentral is "partial 16S ribosomal RNA". It matches the Rfam family "Bacterial small subunit ribosomal RNA", at positions 524 to 776 of the family's 1533-position model. The record is from RNAcentral.
UACGAAGGGGGCUAGCGUUGCUCGGAAUCACUGGGCGUAAAGGGCGCGUAGGCGGCCAUUCAAGUCGGGGGUGAAAGCCUGUGGCUCAACCACAGAAUUGCCCUUCGAUACUGUUUGGGCUUGAGUAUGGUAGAGGUUGGUGGAACUGCGAGUGUAGAGGUGAAAUUCGUAGAUAUUCGCAAGAACACCGGUGGCGAAGGCGGCCAACUGGACCAUUACUGACGCUGAGGCGCGAAAGCGUGGGGAGCAAACAGG